ACGAACGCUGGCGGCAUGCCUAACACAUGCAAGUCGAACGAGACCUUCGGGUCUAGUGGCGCACGGGUGCGUAACGCGUGGGAACCUGCCCUUAGGUUCGGAAUAACUCCCCGAAAGGGGUGCUAAUACCGGAUGAUGUCUUCGGACCAAAGAUUUAUCGCCUUUGGAUGGGCCCGCGUUGGAUUAGCUAGUUGGUAGGGUAAAAGCCUACCAAGGCGACGAUCCAUAGCUGGUCUGAGAGGAUGAUCAGCCACACUGGGACUGAGACACGGCCCAGACUCCUACGGGAGGCAGCAGUGGGGAAUAUUGGACAAUGGGCGAAAGCCUGAUCCAGCAAUGCCGCGUGAGUGAUGAAGGCCUUAGGGUUGUGGAGCUCUUUUACCCGGGAUGAUAAUGACAGUACCGGGAGAAUAAGCUCCGGCUAACUCCGUG
RNAcentral lists this ribosomal RNA (432 nucleotides) under uncultured bacterium. RNAcentral describes it as "partial 16S ribosomal RNA". It matches the Rfam family "Bacterial small subunit ribosomal RNA", at positions 29 to 507 of the family's 1533-position model. The record is from RNAcentral.